GCAAGUCGAGCGAGAAGGUUAUGAUUGAUUCUUCGGAUGAAAGAUUAACUGGAAAGCGGCGGACGGGUGAGUAACGCGUGAGUAACCUGCCCCAUACACAGGGAUAGCCAUUGGAAACGAUGAUUAAUACCUGAUAACACAUAUUUAACACAUGUUAUAUAUGUCAAAGAUUUAUCGGUAUGGGAUGGACUCGCGUGGGAUUAGCUAGUGGGGGAGGUAAGGGCUCACCAAGGCGACGAUCAGUAGCCGGCCUGAGAGGGUGAUC
RNAcentral lists this ribosomal RNA (265 nucleotides) under uncultured bacterium. RNAcentral's name for it is "partial 16S ribosomal RNA". It matches the Rfam family "Bacterial small subunit ribosomal RNA", at positions 57 to 305 of the family's 1533-position model. The record is from RNAcentral.